This 497-nucleotide ribosomal RNA is filed under the name uncultured bacterium. Its description in RNAcentral is "partial 16S ribosomal RNA". It matches the Rfam family "Bacterial small subunit ribosomal RNA", at positions 28 to 507 of the family's 1533-position model. The record is from RNAcentral.
GAUGAACGCUGGCGGCGUGCCUAAUACAUGCCAGUCGAGCGAACAGAUGAGGAGCUUGCUCCUCUGACGUUAGAGGCGGAAGGGAGAGUAACACGUGGAUCACCUACAUAUAAGCAUGGGAUAACUUCGGGAAACCGGAGCUAAUACCGGAUAAUAUAUUGAACCGCAUGGUUCAAUAGUGAAAGACGGUUUUGCUUUCACUUAUAGAUAGAUCCGCGCCGCAUUAGCUAGUUGGUAAGGUAACGGCUUACCAAGGCAACGAUGAGUAGCCGACCUGAGAGGGUGAUCGGCCACACUGGAACUGAGACACGGGCCAGACUCGUACGGGAGGCAGCAGUAGGGAAUCUCCGGCAAUGGGCGAAAGCUUGACGGAGCAACGCCGCGUGAGUGAUGAAGGUCUUCGGAUCGGAAAACACUAUUAUUAGGGAAGAACAAAUGUGUAAGUAACUAUGCACGUCCUGACGGUACCUAAUCAGAAAGCCACGGCUAACUACGUG